CGGGCGAGCCACAGCCGCCGCCCCCCCCCCGUCAGCGCAUGAACUCCGGGAUUAAAGGAGAAACUUGGACGGCGAUGAGACGCGCACAGAGUGGAGCUCUGCAUUGCAACGCACCCUUCAUUAAAGCACAACAACAACAAAAAUGAGGACAAGAAACGACACAUCCCGCUGUAGACGAAGGGGGAAAGAAAUGUUGACCCCAACCACAACAUUGAAACUAUUGUGUUGCUGAUCCUUAGCAGUAGCAGUGAACACAACUGUCGCCAGAACCUUGUCAGUCCUGGUCAGCUGGGGGAUGCCAGCAGCAGUUUCCGUGGCAACCCAAGCUGCUGCCUUCUGGGAAGAAAGACGAGUGACACAAACCUCUCUUCUGUGAGAAGCUGGCCGUGUUUCAGGGAGGAGGAGAGGAGGAACAGAGUGUUUCAUCCAUCUCCGGGAGAUUUGCAGAAAAGCAAGGAAACACACAGGAUCUUUUACAGACGGGAGCAGCAAACUGUGAAUGCAAAUCAGAGAUACCAGGGAACUGCUCACAGCUGUGGAAUCAGUAUCUGGCGGCUGGAAAGUUCCUGUUUCAUUUCUUCGCUCUCUGCCAUGGAAAACGUACAGCUGCCUUUCUCAGUGCACAGCUUGGAAAGAACGCUACCCAAAGCCCAUAAUCCACAAAUGGUAGGCCAGUUUUGCAUCUCGGUAGUGUGCGAUUGCCUGAGUACAGGGGACCUGGACUGACGUCCCGGCUAAGGCCUGCAGCAGCAGAUUAGUGUGACGGAGCCCCUGGAGAGACUGGAUCUGGCUCUCUUGAGUUAGUCACUGUGUUGUGUGUCUGGGUAGUGCAGCACAAUUGUCAUGCUGCUGUACUGCUUGAAAUAGGACGUCUGCUGGACCAGAAGAGGAGACAGCGAUGGCUGUGCUCUCAGGUAAACUGCUGCAGCCUCCACUAGAAAUGUAAAAAAAUUCUAAAACAACUUAGUUUGGGUGAGGAACAAAUAACCAUGUCAAUAAGCAAUCUUUAAUUCACAUUCAACAAUAUUCAAAAGCCUGGCCCUUGCAAUGUAAUGUAACUUACGCACUACCAAUCUACCAAUCUGAAGGGAUGUAGUAUCUAAUGUGUUACUUUUACAAGUCAAAUCUAAUUAGUUAAGCACAUUCCUAACAAAAAUUAUGAAUGAGAGAAGGUUAUUCAUUAGAAUUGUUUGGUUGCUUCUUUUUUAAGGAUGUCAUCCAGUUGUUUUUUGAAAGAAGCCGGGGUAUCAGCUUCAACAACAAGGUUGCAUAGCUUGUUCCACACUCCCACACCCCUUUGUGUAAUGAUGUGUUUCCUGUUUUUUCAAGGCGAUGUAAUUAUAUUACUUGUGCUUUCCACUUCUGUCCCCUGGUUUGCAUUUCACUGUUUAUU
Long non-coding RNA from Lepisosteus oculatus (spotted gar), 1393 nucleotides. RefSeq lists it as uncharacterized. NCBI's taxonomy places the organism in Eukaryota, Metazoa, Chordata, Actinopteri, Semionotiformes, Lepisosteidae. The record is from RefSeq and is a predicted model, not a curated record.